This is a long non-coding RNA of Acinonyx jubatus (cheetah), 1971 nucleotides long. RefSeq lists it as uncharacterized. NCBI's taxonomy places the organism in Eukaryota, Metazoa, Chordata, Mammalia, Carnivora, Felidae. The transcript is spliced from 2 exons. The record is from RefSeq and is a predicted model, not a curated record.
ACCUCCAUGCGUCGGGCAGACGCCCAGGCAGGGGCAGACGUGACAGGGCAGCUGGCCCUCCCAGGACCCCCACACCGACGUCCACGACAGAGCAGAGGGACUUCCACGUUCCCCGCCUGCAAGUCACCCGCGAGGCCCGUUCCCACCCUCCCCGGGGCCCAGCUGAGCUCAGUAACAGCUCCCCAGUGGAAAGUUCCCUUCUUGGAGAUUCUCUCCCUGCUGAAAUACAAGCACUUGGAAUGAGAUAAAACUGCUUAAUUUGUAAAAGCCACAAAGCCGAUCCAGAACAAGGGAAAAAACCCGACCCUUGGCUGGAAGGCGCGGCCUUCUGUGUCUCAGCGGCCAGUCACUGCUCCGUGACUCAUCCCUGCCCUGCUGACAAGCCCUCCGGCAUCUUCUCGGGGUGGGGGUGGGGGUGGGGGAGCAGGCAGCCCCUGAGGGGGCCGGGGGUGCCCCCCCACCCCCCCACUGAGGAGGACCCCGGGCCCCGGACUCACACACCGGGCAGGGGCCCAGCGGGGCCGGGAGAGGGAGCGAGCAGACGUGAGGGUCCCGCGGCUGUCCGCACCUGCCCCAAGCCCCUCCCCUUCCCCAGCGACCCCUCCUGGACAGAACCGGGCAGUGGCCGAAGGCCCACCUUAACCACCAGCCCCCGGGUAUGAGCGGAGGAGCCCUGUCUGGAAGGCCCGGGUGGGGCGCUGGGCCAGGCAGGCGCCUCUGCCCGGUGUGGACUGAGACAGCUGUCACAACCGCCUAACGGCAAGACGCGGGGACGUGUCCGGCGAGAAGGAAGGAGGGUUCAGGGCCCCCCCAGAACAGACUCGGAGGCCCCAUCGGCAGUGGGGCGCUGCCUCCGGCCACGCUGGCCCAACUCUUUCAGCUGACAGGAUCGGUUCUCACGCCACCCCGACGGCUCUGUGCCCGCUCCGUGGGGACCGCCAGUGAAAACGACCCGUCUUUGAAAGGCUGGACCCACAAGGGGAGCAGGGAGUGGUCCAGACCCGCGAGGCCCCGCUGCCCCAGGACCAGCAGCCAUCUGCCCUCACUCUGUGCCCUGACGUGACAUCAGCGACUCUGCUGAGGAAUCUGAGCCGAGCCCACGUCUGCUCAUCCUCCUGGCCUGACGCGUCCCUCAGUGACCCUGGAAGACUGCCACUCCCCACCCCGUUGCAGGGUUCCCAGGUGAGUAGGGGCUCCAAUGACACCAGUCACCUGGGUUAAUGCCCCAAGCUUCCAGGGAACAGGACCAGGUCUGUCAGCUGUGUGCGGGCGUGCGCGUGUGUGUGUGCGCGCGCGCACACACACACACACACACACACACACACACGUCUGCAUGUCUGCCCUGAGCCCCGGGAGCUCCACCCCGGCAAUCAGCUCCUGGGAAGGCACCAAAAGGCUAUUUCAAGGAGGAGACCACGGCGGCCUUGAAGACGGACUUUGGCUGGCAGCAAAAACACAAACCACACGGGGGACGAACCAACCAACUAGCGACCCAGAGCCGAGCACUGGCCGCGGGUCCCCCCACCCUUUGCCGGGGAGCUCGGCGCCAACGUCCCCGUCCCUGCGCCCGGCGUCUCGGGACGCAGAAGUGGCACGCUGGGAACCGAGGGGGAGAAGGAUCAGGGAAGCAGAGCGGGCUUGAAAUAAAAGCCAGACUUCGUGAAGCUCGGCUCUGGGAACACCGCGUCCCACGACCUCAGAACAGCCAAAAGGAAAGAAAUAUGUCCACAGAAAUGAAUCCCAGUGACCCCUGGGUGCUGACUUCCCGAAGCAGCGACCCAGCUCUGAGUUAGGGGAGGGGCGGCGAGCGGCCUACCUGUGAUCCGGUCUCUCUCCAUUACUACGGAUAUAUUUAGCAGCAGGCGGGAGUCCUGGCGUCCCCCUUUCCAGAGGCUUCCUCCCCUUCUCACCCCCGACGCCCUCCCUCCUUCUGCCUCCUCCUUCUCCUCCUCCUCCUCCUCCUCCUCCUCC